UACGGGAGGCAGCAGUGGGGAAUAUUGCACAAUGGGCGCAAGCCUGAUGCAGCCAUGCCGCGUGUAUGAAGAAGGCCUUCGGGUUGUAAAGUACUUUCAGUCGUGAGGAAGGUGUUAAGGUUAAUAACCUUAGCAAUUGACGUUAGCGACAGAAGAAGCACCGGCUAACUCCGUGCCAGCAGCCGCGGUAAUACGGAGGGUGCGAGCGUUAAUCGGAAUUACUGGGCGUAAAGGGCACGCAGGCGGUUAAUUAAGUUGGAUGUGAAAUCCCCGGGCUUAACCCGGGAAUGGCAUUCAAGACUGGUUAGCUAGAGUCUUGUAGAGGGGGUAGAAUUCCAUGUGUAGCGGUGAAAUGCGUAGAGAUGUGGAGGAAUACCGGUGGCGAAGGCGGCCCCUGGACAAAGACUGACGCUCAUGUGCGAAAGCGUGGGGAGCAAACAGGGAUUAGAUACC
This 453-nucleotide ribosomal RNA is filed under the name uncultured bacterium. RNAcentral's name for it is "bacterial SSU rRNA". It matches the Rfam family "Bacterial small subunit ribosomal RNA", at positions 340 to 786 of the family's 1533-position model. The record is from RNAcentral.